GAAGGAUGGAGAGAGAGUGGACAAAGAGAGGGACCUGGAAGAACCAGGGAAGGACAAUCUCUGUUCGGAGUCAUCAUCACUGACAGGAGUCGCACAACAGCCAUUUUCAGCAGUCUUAUCCAUGAGGCAUGGUGGGAAAUGCCAGCCAAUGACAUUCAGCUCAGUAAAGGGUACAUCAGUCCAUCUGCUUUGCAGUUCGCAGCUGUCUGACCACUUACCAAACCCUGUCUGGGCAUCAUUACCGUAUGUUCGCCGUCCUUCCGACAACUGGACCCUAUGUGAGACAAAUACAAAGGGAGCCCUGAGGUCAUCCAGGAUGGGAAGUACUAGAGAGAAAAAGGACAAAACUACUGUUACGUUACUGUGUGCCACGCUCACUGCUACUGCACUACUGUGGCAAUGUGUCCUUGCGUUCCAUAUCAUCAUCAAUACAUACAGCAUGACAUUUAAGCCAUGACCAAAGGCUUUUCAUAAUUCCAUGUCUUUUUUUCCCUUCACAGAUAUCAAAUGCCAUGAUCAUGCAAAUGGGACACACGCAUCCUUCUUAAAGUUUGCAGAUAUCCGGUUGCCAAUUAGCAAAUGGUAAAAUCUAACCCACACACCCGGCCACAGCAAAGGUAUUCAGCAGAAGUGAAUCUCCAAUCAGCAAAGUGCCAGGGUACACCACAGUGUUUUACAUUAACAAGAAGAACUAAAGCAAUGUGUAAGUAAGGGAAGACAUAAAUCAUUUAAAUCACCUGUCUUGAAACCUUGAAGGAAUUUAUGGCCGAGUGUGGAAUGGGAAGAUGGGGGCGAUGGUGUGGCAGUGGGGCUGUCUGAGUGAGCUUUACAAGCCUCUCAAUAAACAUAUGAAUAAUUUUGGGGGAGUCGUUAGAAGCCGUCUGUUCUCUUGAUCUUAAAUCGAUGCAUUGAGGAUGAAUUAAAUGUCGCAGAGAGGGGAAUGAGUAAGAGGAGAAGGAAGUAGCUGAACUGAGGCCAUAUUACAAGGUGAUUAAAACAAGUGUCUCUGUGAAUUGCUACACUGGGAGGCUGGCGAACAAUGAGGAACAGGGGUGUAAAAGAAAAAGGCAGGAGGCUAUCUUUUAGCCCUGAUUUGUUGAGGAAGCUCUUUUUUCAGAUUUCAGCUAUUACAUUUUUGUAUUUGCAAAGAGGUAAAAAGUGUUCUACAUGCUGGUGGACACAUGCGUCAGCACAGGCGGGACUCUAACUGCUUCCUUUGAACAUAAUACUCAAAUACUAUUAAGGUGUUUAUCCAAAUGUUCCAACCCCUUGACAAAUAGUACACACAGCUUAAUGAUGAGUGAAGUGAGUAUUAAUGUUAAACUGUGCCCAGUUUCUGCCACCCCCAUGAGGAAUUCUAAGUAAUGACAACAAAACUGUUGGCGCGUCCACUGGAUACAAGC
This is a long non-coding RNA of Perca fluviatilis (European perch), 1403 nucleotides long. RefSeq lists it as uncharacterized. The transcript is spliced from 3 exons. The record is from RefSeq and is a predicted model, not a curated record. Lineage: Eukaryota; Metazoa; Chordata; Actinopteri; Perciformes; Percidae.